Eublepharis macularius is the source of this 73-nucleotide non-coding RNA. The record is from the annotation of a RefSeq genome assembly. Lineage: Eukaryota; Metazoa; Chordata; Lepidosauria; Squamata; Eublepharidae.
GCUUUCUUAGCACAGUUGGUAGCAUGUCAGUCCUAUAAUCUGAAGGUCCUGAGUUCAAUCCUCAGAGAAGGCC